RNAcentral lists this long non-coding RNA (5911 nucleotides) under Homo sapiens (human). RNAcentral describes it as "HSALNT0121461". Lineage: Eukaryota; Metazoa; Chordata; Mammalia; Primates; Hominidae. The record is from RNAcentral.
GAAAAUACAUGUAAGUGACUAUGAGGAUUUGUCGUUCACAUGUACAUAAUAGUUUAACCCUUUAGUGCAAGGAGACAACUAUAUACAUAUUGGGUGGGGGUUGGCAGGACAUAAGAGUUUAUUUUCCCAAUUUGUUUUCUUUUAGGUCAACCCAUGCAUUCAUGUAUGCAUCCUUAGGCUGAUAUUUGUACAAGUUCCGUUCUCCUGCACCCCUGCCCCCUUAAGAGGUUAAGGAAUUUCUCCGAACCACCACUACAGGAUCUGAAAUCAGGAGCCAAGGAUACCAUCGCUACUGUCAUUCUCAGGCUGGGGAGAGCCGGACUGACUGAGAUUUCAUUUAGAUUGUUGAAGUCCAACCAGUUUAGUUGUUUUGAUCUCUAGAAGAAGAAAAAACAGGAAUCUUGAACAUCCCAAAAGGAGGAAUCUGAAUUAGUAAAUGGAACAUCCACACAUGCCCAUUAGGGAGAAAAAGAGAGUGAGAGAUGUUGUAAGUGAACUAAACCCUCAUACUCCAUAGCAGGAAAUGAACAGAUGAUAUAUCAAGUUAAUAAAAGACAGAGAUAAACUGGAAGUCUUUGGAAAUACGGAGAGUGGGGAGUCUCACUAUGUUGCCCAGCCUGGCCUUGAUCUCCUGGACUCAAGCAAUCCUCUCAGAGUAGCUGGGACUACAGGCAUAUACCACCAUACCUAGUUUGCCUAUUGAUAUUCUUCUUUACCCCUAAGAAGAUUGUAUGUGUUAAUCCAUAUGUCAAGCUUAUCCAGUGUGAUGAAACUGGCGAAUUCACACUGAAGAGAAACUUUGAAGGUAAUAAACAUCCUUGACUGAUAAAAAAUACGAAGGUGUUAAAAUAUAAAUAUGUGUUAAGUGGGUAUGUGCGUAUGAAUUUCUGUUUUUUUUUUUUUUGAGACAGAGUCUCCCUCUGUCACCCAGGCUGGAGUGCAGUGGCGUGAUCUCAGCUCCCUGCAAGCUCCACCUCCUGGGUUCACGCCAUUCUCCUGCCUCAGCCUCCCAAGUAGCUGGGACUACAGGCGCCCGCCACCACGCCAGGCUGAUUUUUUGUAUUUUUAGUAGAGACGGGGUUUCACAGUGUUAGCCAGGAUGGUCUCAAUCUCCUGACCUCGUGAUACGCCCACCUCAGCCUCCUAAAAUGCUGGGAUUAUAGGUGUGAGCCUCCAUGCCUGUCCUGAAUUUCUUAAUAAAUGCAGUUUUCAUGAAGGCAAAGUAUUUCAGAUAGUCUGGUAGGAAAGGAGAAAGAAAUACAAAAUAGGGUCUUAAAGUGUGCAAAGGUGGGAAACUGGAGCUGGGACUUUUCUGACCAACUAGGACAACCUGGGGCUUAGCUGAACUCUCCCCAGGCUCUGGGAAAGCAUCAUUGUUAUGGAUUUUCAGCUGUGAGGAGCUUGGUAUGAAAAUUCUGCUCCUCGAAUAAGCCUACAGCAUGAGUUAAAGAAAAAAAUGCAGUUCUAUCAAUACUAAACAUUUUAACAAGAUCUUCUUUAAGACAAAAAAUUUAAAUAACCCUCUUCUGCCUUUUCCCAUCAAAUUUCAAGUAUUUUCCAGGUGUUAAUGCAAUAGCAAAUUAGAACUCCUAGGGUUUGAGUGGGCAUUUUGACUUAAUUCUGGUGGAUAGAUUCUACAUGUUCCUUGAUUUUGCUUAAUUGAUGUUUGGAUAACCUGCAAGGAAUCCAUAGACUGUUUAUGGAAACAUUGAUUCUUGAUUUGAAAUCUGUUUGCUCAGCAGAUGGGACCAAAUUUAUCCAUCAGAGAAUCUUGCCUUCACACAAGAACUAGUAGUAUUCUUUCCUUACAGAGUUUGGCAGAGGAUUGGUGAAGAACAUGGCAGAAACAAUGGGACUCUCCUUGGAUAACGGUUCUUUGUGCUUUGCAAAUUCUCCAAUACGUGGAUAACCAAGUGGUUGUUGUUGUUUUUCUAGAAGUCUGAGAUUCACUGUCUAUGCCUCACUGUCUUCUUGAAACCAAAUGAGUUUAAGGACAGAAUAUACAUUUGGGUGAGAUAGGAAGCAGCUCAAAAAAGUGCUCACAUUCAAUCCCAUUAUUUUUCCUCCAUUAAUGUGAAAAAGACCUAUUUACAUCUUUGAUGACUUCUUAGAAGGCCAAUCCACCUUGGAGGUUAAAAGGUUUAAAAUUAGAGCUAACAUUUAUUGAGCAUGGGUUUUCCAGGGAUAUUUUUACUUUUAUAAAAAUUAAGGUAGAAGAGAACCCAUAAGCCAUAUUCACUAAAAAUUAUGCUACCGGUAUGGGGUAAGGGAGAAGUAUGCUCAGUUUAUAUUCCUGUGUUAAUAAAAUAAUUCCUUAAAUUCAGCAAAGCAAGAUGCACCCCGGCUUUCAAAGCAUCAGUGUUUGACUUUUCCUUCAAAUGGAGAUUUGUAGGAGAAAAUAUUACAGACAAUUCAAUGGCUACUGUGCCUGGUUUAAACACAGCACUAUGCUCACUCAAAUUUCUUUUAGACUAUAGACACAUGGGCCAGUGCUUAUUUUCAUGGUUGAUUUAAUCCAUCCCCUGUGCCAGUGUGGGGAUUAUUCCCUACAGUUAUUUUCCAGUGAUCUGUCAGUUCAGAUUAAAAAAAGUUAAGUGACAAAGAUGCAGUGGCUGAUUCCUUUAGAAGGCUGUGGAAGCUGGAGUAUACAGCAAGAGACUUCUUUUUAAGGAUCUGACUAUGUUCUCUCUUUAAUUUCUCUCACAUCGCCACGAAUCUUUCUUAUCUAGGCUGAACUUUAAACUUCCUAAACAGGCAAUUCAAUUUUGUUCAUAUACAACAAUUUCAGGGUUGCCAAAAAGGGUUUCCAGAUCUUACUUCUUUGGCUCUUGCUUAGUUUUUAAGAAGAGGAGAUAGCAUAUAUUUCCUCACUUUACAGAUGAAAUCUAAGACAUGAUUCUAGGACCACAUGGAUCCUAGCUUUGCUUGGGAUACACAAUAAAUGAUAAUACUGUCUCUUAAGCUACAUCUCUUUUUAUAUUUUGAGAUAUAGGAUUAAAAAUAUACCUUUGCCAGAUUUGUAAUUCUGUUCCAGAUUCUUUGAGAAGAAACCUGCAAUAAAAUGAUUUUAAUUGUAUAGCAAAAUGUUACUCGUGUUAAUGCUAAAAGUUACUCAUAUCAUAAAUAUUAUUAUUAUUCUCACUCUUAUUUUCUCUUUCCAUCUCUACAAUAGAAUUCUUUAGUAGGAUUAUGAAGAUACUGGGUGAGUAAUUUGGUUAUUUUGUAUUGAUGUGCAAAUUAGUCAUUCAAUUCACGCAUUCAUUUUAAAGGCUUUCAUAUGUACUAAGCUAAAAAGAACGCAACUGACAGUUUUAACAAAAUAAUUACAUUAAUUCUACACUCUGCUGCGAGAAAAGGGUCAUCAAAAAUAGAAUCCUAAGAAAAUUCAUAAAAAGCAAUACAAUACUGGACUAUUAAUGGGGCUAGGAUGUAAUAUGGUUGCAUCAUCUAUAUGAUUACAAGUGUUUUCUGCAAAUGUCUCAUGGAUUUCUGCCAGGAUGGUUGGUCUUGCUUAUGAGAAGUAAAAUAGUAUUAUUUUUACUUUGUCUACUGCAAUGUGGACAAAAGGGGCAAAUAGAAAUGGAUCAGUCAGGAUAGGCUAGGUUAUGCUGCGAUAACAAGCAACCUCAACAUCCCAGUACAGUUUACUUCUUUACGUGUCCUAAAUCAUCAGGGGGCUCAGCUCAUUGUAGUCACUUAGGUGGCCAAGCUGGUGGAGCACCUACUAUCUUGAACAUUACCAGAAGGAAAGAGAGCUUUUGAGAGUGAGAAUUGAAUGCUCUGGGCCAGAAGUAGCCCCCAUCACUUUCUCUUGAAACUCACUGGCCAGCACUGGUCACGUGGCACCACUUGAAUGCAAGGAGACCAGGAAGUGCCAAAGUGUCAACUCUCAGAGAGCGGGAGAGCCAGGGAAGUUUGGGGAACUACAUUAGUGACCUCCACAAAGGUCUCACUCUGCCCCUCAGAUGGUUUCCAUAUUUAUCACUUCCUUUCCAUUUUCAUUUCCCUUUGUUUAACCUCAUUUUGUCUUGUCUGCAUCACUGCAAGAGCCUUUUUUUUUUCUUUUUUUUUUUUUGAGAUGUAGUUUUGCUCUUGUCCCCAGGCUGGAGUGCAGUUGCGCUAUCUUGGCUCACUGCAAGCUCCGCCUCCAGGGUCUAAGCAAUUCUCCUGCCUCAGCCUCCCAAGUAGCUGGGAUUACAGGCACCCACGACCAGGCCUGGCUAAUUUUUGUAUUUUUAGUAGAGAUGAGGUUUCACCAUGUUGGCCAGGCUGGUCUUGAAUUCUUGACCUCAGGUGAUCACCUGCCUCAGCCUCCCAAAGUGCUAGGAUUACAGGUGUGAGCCACCUUGCCUGGCGGUGCAAGGGCCUUUUAACUGACCUCUAAUCUCUUGCCUUCCUCACUCUCUCUCUCUCAUUUAUUAAAUUAACUAAUGUUAUCAAGCCAUUUGCCAAGUGCCCAUCUGCCACCAGAAUUAUCUUUGUAAAACACAGAUAGGAUUAUCGUAUUAAUUUUUUUAAAGAAGGGAAUAUGAUAUCUCUCAGCCCAAGGAAUUAAACCAUAGUGCUCAGCCCAAUAUUAGAGAAUGAGGGGGGGCACUUUGACUUCAACCCACUUUUCUAGAGACACUCUGACCUCUUCUGAGAACCUCACUUCUAGUCCAGAGGUAGAAGCUGAUGGUGCAUGGCCAUCCACAGCCAGCAGACGGGGAUGUCCCACUUCCACACAUAGAAACAGGGCUUGAAAAAAGUUUGAAUGGGUUGACAAGACUAAAAAAUCAGGAGAGCCUCCAUAAAAUAUGUAUUGUCCAUUUUUCUUAAAGACAAAACAAAACACAACCCCACAUCCAGAAGGUCUGGCAACAUGACCCUGCAUGGGGACUGGAGCUGAGUGCAGCUGUCCUCUUGCUGGGAUCCAUGGCAGCCAGAAUGAACUGCCCCCUCUCCUGAAAUUCUAUGAGGGGACAUCCUGUUGUGCAUUGCACCACAAUUAAUGUGUCCCUGGAUGGUUCUUUUACCAACUAGCUCCCUAAAGAAGGUAACCAUUUUUAUGCAGGACUUUUUUUUUUUUUUUAAAUCUUCCUGUCUUCUCUCUCAGCAACCUGCAUAUAGCAGAUGUUCACUAAAUAAUUAGGAAUUAUAAUUGUAGGGAGCUGUAAUUUGAUUGGCCACUUGAUGACUUCAGCUUAUUCUUCCUACCUAACAUGUAUCAUGUGCUUGCUUUGGUUAAGUUCACAAAAGUAGAGAUACCACUGGAGAAUUUCUGAGGUUCCCAAGAUCCACUGCUCAGGGUUCUAGGAGACUACCUAUAAAUCAUGUGACCUCUGAGCCUGCAAUGGAGCUGCAGUUAAUUUGGGGGAAUGGUAUAGAUUUAUUUUUCUAAAAAAUCAAAUUCUUGUGUUCCUUUCUUGAAAAUAUAUAACUGUACAGGCCAAGGCAGCCAUCUGGAUGCAUCUGGAGCCAUAUCCUAAAAAUUCUGUAAAAUAAUUUUGUUUAUGAACUAACAACUUAUUAAAGGAAGUGAAUGAACACCACCUAAGAAUCCAGGAUUUGAAGGUGUGCUAUAGGAAUUCAAUAGGAAAUAUGUAUAUGAAAUGUGGUUAAAGAGGAAAUGACAAGCUUGGAGAGCCCUGAAAGGUUAUCUGGAUAAACAGAAAAGUACUGCAGGGAAUUUCAGACCCUUCUAAAGUUCAUCCAGAGACACCUAUCCACCUGAUGACUGACAGCAUCUGCGGGGGACCAGGCUACAGGUCCGGGUGAAGGGCAUCUGUCCCUGAAACAUAUGGCCCUUCCUGGCAUCCAUUGAUGGGGAGAGGCACCAUGUAUUUAUUGAGAGCCUACUAUGUUCCAGGCAACCAGUGAUGACUUCCAAGCCAACGUGGACUAUGAAAGAGGGAUCCACUUUAGAAAGGAC